GACGAACGCUGGCGGCGUGCCUAAUACAUGCAAGUCGAGCGAGCGGAACCAACAGAUUUACUUCGGUAAUGACGUUGGGAAAGCGAGCGGCGGAUGGGUGAGUAACACGUGGGGAACCUGCCCCUAAGUCUGGGAUACCAUUUGGAAACAGGUGCUAAUACCGGAUAAUAAAGCAGAUCGCAUGAUCAGCUUUUGAAAGGCGGCGUAAGCUGUCGCUAAGGGAUGGCCCCGCGGUGCAUUAGCUAGUUGGUAAGGUAACGGCUUACCAAGGCGACGAUGCAUAGCCGAGUUGAGAGACUGAUCGGCCACAUUGGGACUGAGACACGGCCCAAACUCCUACGGGAGGCAGCAGUAGGGAAUCUUCCACAAUGGACGCAAGUCUGAUGGAGCAACGCCGCGUGAGUGAAGAAGGUUUUCGGAUCGUAAAGCUCUGUUGUUGGUGAAGAAGGAUAGAGGUAGUAACUGGCCUUUAUUUGACGGUAAUCAACCAGAAAGUC
RNAcentral lists this ribosomal RNA (497 nucleotides) under uncultured bacterium. Its description in RNAcentral is "bacterial SSU rRNA". It matches the Rfam family "Bacterial small subunit ribosomal RNA", at positions 28 to 492 of the family's 1533-position model. The record is from RNAcentral.